Molecule: transfer RNA, 71 nt
Filed under: Marmota monax (woodchuck)
Lineage: Eukaryota; Metazoa; Chordata; Mammalia; Rodentia; Sciuridae
Description: tRNA.Val
Rfam family: tRNA (bases 6-66)
About the family: Transfer RNA (tRNA) molecules are approximately 80 nucleotides in length. Their secondary structure includes four short double-helical elements and three loops (D, anti-codon, and T loops). Further hydrogen bonds mediate the characteristic L-shaped molecular structure. tRNAs have two regions of fundamental functional importance: the anti-codon, which is responsible for specific mRNA codon recognition, and the 3' end, to which the tRNAs corresponding amino acid is attached (by aminoacyl-tRNA synthetases). tRNAs cope with the degeneracy of the genetic code in two manners: having more than one tRNA (with a specific anti-codon) for a particular amino acid; and 'wobble' base-pairing, i.e. permitting non-standard base-pairing at the 3rd anti-codon position.
Source: RNAcentral
GAGGCUGGGACUCAGUGGUAGAGUUCUUGCCUGACAUGCAUGAGGCACUGGGAUAAAUUCCUAGCACCACA